AAAAUGUGUAAUUUGGUAUAAAUACAGCAUAAAAGUUGCAACACAAACAAACACGUGUUAUAACCAUUAGAUAUGAAAGUCUUUGCUGUUGGAGUGAUAAGUCUUUGUCUGUAUGGCAUUGCACUUAGCUGUAUUCCAUGCAACCUGCACACUGAUGACUGCACCAAACCAUGUCAAUAUGUUGGUGACGAACCCCACUGUCACUAUAAUAAUUCGUUUUCAAACUGCUGUUUCUGCGAAAUUCCGAUUGAGUGCCAUCCUUCAAAUGUUACUAUAGCGUGUCCAGCACAAUGUACAUGCGAACCUCAUGGAGAACACCAUCACUGCAUAUGUCCUCAAUAAAGACGACUACCAAAAGAUGUACGGAUAUGUAGAAUACUGCUGCAUUUUUGUGUCCAGACGAGUACCAGUAUAAUGUACAUUUAUAAGCUCAUGUGAACAUUCGUGUUGUGUUUUAAAAAACUAUAAUGUUGUUAUAUUUCAUUGUUUAAAUAACGUCACUUAUUUCUUAUCAGUUUGUUAAUAUUACUUCUCAAAACUGUAACGGCUUU
This is a long non-coding RNA of Mytilus trossulus (common blue mussel), 551 nucleotides long. RefSeq lists it as uncharacterized. The transcript is spliced from 3 exons. Lineage: Eukaryota; Metazoa; Mollusca; Bivalvia; Mytilida; Mytilidae. The record is from RefSeq and is a predicted model, not a curated record.